GGGUUGUGAGGUUAAGCGACUAAGCGUACACGGUGGAUGCCCUGGCAGUCAGAGGCGAUGAAGGACGUGCUAAUCUGCGAUAAGCGUCGGUAAGGUGAUAUGAACCGUUAUAACCGGCGAUUUCCGAAUGGGGAAACCCAGUGUGAUUCGUCACACUAUCAUUAACUGAAUCCAUAGGUUAAUGAGGCGAACCGGGGGAACUGAAACAUCUAAGUACCCCGAGGAAAAGAAAUCAACCGAGAUUCCCCCAGUAGCGGCGAGCGAACGGGGAGCAGCCCAGAGCCUGAAUCAGUGUGUGUGUUAGUGGAAGCGUCUGGAAAGGCGCGCGAUACAGGGUGACAGCCCCGUACACAAAAAUGCACAUAUUGUGAGCUCGAUGAGUAGGGCGGGACACGUGGUAUCCUGUCUGAAUAUGGGGGGCCCAUCCUCCAAGGCUAAAUACUCCUGACUGACCGAUAGUGAACCAGUACCGUGAGGGAAAGGCGAAAAGAACCCCGGCGAGGGGAGUGAAAAAGAACCUGAAACCGUGUACGUACAAGCAGUGGGAGCACGCUUAGGCGUGUGACUGCGUACCUUUUGUAUAAUGGGUCAGCGACUUAUAUUCUGUAGCAAGGUUAACCGAAUAGGGGAGCCGAAGGGAAACCGAGUCUUAACUGGGCGUUAAGUUGCAGGGUAUAGACCCGAAACCCGGUGAUCUAGCCAUGGGCAGGUUGAAGGUUGGGUAACACUAACUGGAGGACCGAACCGACUAAUGUUGAAAAAUUAGCGGAUGACUUGUGGCUGGGGGUGAAAGGCCAAUCAAACCGGGAGAUAGCUGGUUCUCCCCGAAAGCUAUUUAGGUAGCGCCUCGUGAAUUCAUCUCCGGGGGUAGAGCACUGUUUCGGCAAGGGGGUCAUCCCGACUUACCAACCCGAUGCAAACUGCGAAUACCGGAGAAUGUUAUCACGGGAGACACACGGCGGGUGCUAACGUCCGUCGUGAAGAGGGAAACAACCCAGACCGCCAGCUAAGGUCCCAAAGUCAUGGUUAAGUGGGAAACGAUGUGGGAAGGCCCAGACAGCCAGGAUGUUGGCUUAGAAGCAGCCAUCAUUUAAAGAAAGCGUAAUAGCUCACUGGUCGAGUCGGCCUGCGCGGAAGAUGUAACGGGGCUAAACCAUGCACCGAAGCUGCGGCAGCGACGCUUAUGCGUUGUUGGGUAGGGGAGCGUUCUGUAAGCCUGCGAAGGUGUGCUGUGAGGCAUGCUGGAGGUAUCAGAAGUGCGAAUGCUGACAUAAGUAACGAUAAAGCGGGUGAAAAGCCCGCUCGCCGGAAGACCAAGGGUUCCUGUCCAACGUUAAUCGGGGCAGGGUGAGUCGACCCCUAAGGCGAGGCCGAAAGGCGUAGUCGAUGGGAAACAGGUUAAUAUUCCUGUACUUGGUGUUACUGCGAAGGGGGGACGGAGAAGGCUAUGUUGGCCGGGCGACGGUUGUCCCGGUUUAAGCGUGUAGGCUGGUUUUCCAGGCAAAUCCGGAAAAUCAAGGCUGAGGCGUGAUGACGAGGCACUACGGUGCUGAAGCAACAAAUGCCCUGCUUCCAGGAAAAGCCUCUAAGCAUCAGGUAACAUCAAAUCGUACCCCAAACCGACACAGGUGGUCAGGUAGAGAAUACCAAGGCGCUUGAGAGAACUCGGGUGAAGGAACUAGGCAAAAUGGUGCCGUAACUUCGGGAGAAGGCACGCUGAUAUGUAGGUGAAGUCCCUUGCGGAUGGAGCUGAAAUCAGUCGAAGAUACCAGCUGGCUGCAACUGUUUAUUAAAAACACAGCACUGUGCAAACACGAAAGUGGACGUAUACGGUGUGACGCCUGCCCGGUGCCGGAAGGUUAAUUGAUGGGGUCAGCGCAAGCGAAGCUCUUGAUCGAAGCCCCGGUAAACGGCGGCCGUAACUAUAACGGUCCUAAGGUAGCGAAAUUCCUUGUCGGGUAAGUUCCGACCUGCACGAAUGGCGUAAUGAUGGCCAGGCUGUCUCCACCCGAGACUCAGUGAAAUUGAACUCGCUGUGAAGAUGCAGUGUACCCGCGGCAAGACGGAAAGACCCCGUGAACCUUUACUAUAGCUUGACACUGAACAUUGAGCCUUGAUGUGUAGGAUAGGUGGGAGGCUUUGAAGUGUGGACGCCAGUCUGCAUGGAGCCGGCCUUGAAAUACCACCCUUUAAUGUUUGAUGUUCUAACGUGGACCCGUGAUCCGGGUUGCGGACAGUGUCUGGUGGGUAGUUUGACUGGGGCGGUCUCCUCCUAAAGAGUAACGGAGGAGCACGAAGGUUGGCUAAUCCUGGUCGGACAUCAGGAGGUUAGUGCAAUGGCAUAAGCCAGCUUGACUGCGAGCGUGACGGCGCGAGCAGGUGCGAAAGCAGGUCAUAGUGAUCCGGUGGUUCUGAAUGGAAGGGCCAUCGCUCAACGGAUAAAAGGUACUCCGGGGAUAACAGGCUGAUACCGCCCAAGAGUUCAUAUCGACGGCGGUGUUUGGCACCUCGAUGUCGGCUCAUCACAUCCUGGGGCUGAAGUAGGUCCCAAGGGUAUGGCUGUUCGCCAUUUAAAGUGGUACGCGAGCUGGGUUUAGAACGUCGUGAGACAGUUCGGUCCCUAUCUGCCGUGGGCGCUGGAGAACUGAGGGGGGGCUGCUCCUAGUACGAGAGGACCGGAGUGGACGCAUCACUGGUGUUCGGGUUGUCAUGCCAAUGGCACUGCCCGGUAGCUAAAUGCGGAAGAGAUAAGUGCUGAAAGCAUCUAAGCACGAAACUUGCCCCGAGAUGAGUUCUCCCUGACCCUUUAAGGGUCCUGAAGGAACGUUGAAGACGACGACGUUGAUAGGCCGGGUGUGUAAGCGCAGCGAUGCGUUGAGCUAACCGGUACUAAUGAACCGUGAGGCUUAACCUUACAACGCCGAAG
RNAcentral lists this ribosomal RNA (2926 nucleotides) under Shigella sonnei. Its description in RNAcentral is "23S ribosomal RNA". It matches the Rfam family "Bacterial large subunit ribosomal RNA". Lineage: Bacteria; Pseudomonadati; Pseudomonadota; Gammaproteobacteria; Enterobacterales; Enterobacteriaceae. The record is from RNAcentral.